AUACUUACCUGGCAGGGGAGAUACCAUGAUCACCAAGGUGGUUUUCCCAGAGUAAGGCACAUCCAUUGCAUUGCGGGUGUGUUGACCAUUGUGAUUUCCCUUGAGAGGGCCAUUUAGGGAUCUGGGGCAAGAAGUUUUAUGGGGUUUGGUCCUGCUUUGAGUAGGGGGUUGGAUUAGAUGACCUCCUG
Small nuclear RNA from Gopherus evgoodei (Goodes thornscrub tortoise), 188 nucleotides. Its record names the gene U1. It matches the Rfam family "U1 spliceosomal RNA". Rfam says of the family: U1 is a small nuclear RNA (snRNA) component of the spliceosome (involved in pre-mRNA splicing). Its 5' end forms complementary base pairs with the 5' splice junction, thus defining the 5' donor site of an intron. There are significant differences in sequence and secondary structure between metazoan and yeast U1 snRNAs, the latter being much longer (568 nucleotides as compared to 164 nucleotides in human). NCBI's taxonomy places the organism in Eukaryota, Metazoa, Chordata, Testudines, Testudinidae. The record is from Ensembl.